This 949-nucleotide long non-coding RNA is filed under the name Homarus americanus (American lobster). RNAcentral describes it as "uncharacterized LOC121859341, transcript variant X2". Lineage: Eukaryota; Metazoa; Arthropoda; Malacostraca; Decapoda; Nephropidae. The record is from RNAcentral.
AUAAUCUCCUCCUGGUCUUCGCCACAAUAAACAACAAGUCAACAAGCAAAUCGAACAUAAACAAGACGUCACCCCAGCAGCGGCCCGCACCCCAACAUCACGGUCCACAGCUUCCCUUCACCUUCACUCACGAGGACCACACCAAGACUGAGUAAUGGUGGACAUAACAAGGGAACAGGAGAGUCCACAAGUACCUCCUGGCGGGGCGAGAUACAAGCGACGCGACCAGCCAGAUGCUAGUGUGAUAACCCGGCACGUCUGGCCAACCCACUAACGUUAGUGACUUGUCCUCAGUAGGGCUACGUCCUCGCUCACACACGGACGUGCGCUCCGACUCUACCUCCUACUGCCCCUGCCUCGUGGACUCCUACUGUUGCUUCUGGCUAGAUGGGGGCGACGCACCCUCCUCCUAUCCUUCCACGAGUACUUACAUCAGGAGGACUGUCACCCGCAUUCUACUGACGGAGUGGCGUUCACCAGGACGGUGGUGGUGGUCCGCGGAGAUAAUAAUUAUGAUCCAUAACGAACCAAGUUAAUGCCUUACGAGAGAAAAUAAUAACACGUGUGAGUGACAGGUGUUGAGAGCAGUACCUGGUGCAGAGGACAGGUAUUAAUGACAGAUAUUGACAGCCAUACACAUUGUUCAGGGCCUGACAGGUGUUAAGAGUACUUGUGUUUGAUGAGACAGGUGUCAGCCAGUGUGUGUAGUGGACCGUGUGAGUUAGACCAGUGUGUAAUGGACCGCGUGAGCUGGACCACAUGAGCUGGGCCAGGGUGUAGUGGGCCAGCGUGUAGUGGACCACGUGAGUUUGGACCAGGGUUUAGUGGACCACGUGAGCUGGACCAGGGUGAAGUGGGCCAGUGUGUAGUGAGCCACGUGAGCUGGACCAGGGUGUAGUGGACCACGUGAGCUGGACCAGGGUGUAGUGAACCGCGUGAGUUGAGCCGG